Molecule: small nuclear RNA, 148 nt
Filed under: Urocitellus parryii (Arctic ground squirrel)
Lineage: Eukaryota; Metazoa; Chordata; Mammalia; Rodentia; Sciuridae
Description: U1 spliceosomal RNA (ENSUPAG00010002407.1)
Rfam family: U1 spliceosomal RNA
About the family: U1 is a small nuclear RNA (snRNA) component of the spliceosome (involved in pre-mRNA splicing).
Source: RNAcentral
GAACUUAUCAUGGCAAAAAGCAUACAAUGAACAUGAAUGUAGUUUUCUCAGGGAGAGCAGCAUCCAUUGCACUAUGGGUAGUUCACUGUCAUUUCCCCAAGUGUGGGAAACUUGACUGCAUAAUUUGUGGUAGUAGGCACUGUGCUUG